This 466-nucleotide ribosomal RNA is filed under the name uncultured bacterium. Its description in RNAcentral is "partial 16S ribosomal RNA". It matches the Rfam family "Bacterial small subunit ribosomal RNA", at positions 28 to 507 of the family's 1533-position model. The record is from RNAcentral.
GAUGAACGCUGGCGGCGUGCUUAACACAUGCAAGUCGAACGAUGAAGCCCAGCUUGCUGGGUGGAUUAGUGGCGAACGGGUGAGUAACACGUGAGUAACCUGCCCUUGACUCUGGGAUAAGCCUGGGAAACUGGGUCUAAUACUGGAUAUGACUUCUCAUCGCAUGGUGGGGGGUGGAAAGAUUUAUUGGUCUUGGAUGGACUCGCGGCCUAUCAGCUUGUUGGUGAGGUAAUGGCUCACCAAGGCGACGAUGGGUAGCCGGCCUGAGAGGGUGACCGGCCACACUGGGACUGAGACACGGCCCAGACUCCUACGGGAGGCAGCAGUGGGGAAUAUUGCACGAUGGGCGCAAGCCUGAUGCAGCGACGCCGCGUGAGGGAUGACGGCCUUCGGGUUGUAAACCUCUUUCAGUAGGGAAGAAGCGAGAGUGACGGUACCUGCAGAAGAAGCGCCGGCUAACUACGUG